This 1009-nucleotide long non-coding RNA is filed under the name Zonotrichia albicollis (white-throated sparrow). Its description in RNAcentral is "lncRNA (ENSZALG00000008600.1)". The record is from RNAcentral. Lineage: Eukaryota; Metazoa; Chordata; Aves; Passeriformes; Passerellidae.
CAAGAGCUUGCUACUCAGUGUCUCUCGUGCAGGGAGAGGCAGGCAAAGAACCUCUGUGUCCUACACAAGCUACAAGCAUGGAGGAACUGAAGGUCUUGGAGCAAACAAAGCUAAGAGGAAAUGUUCUAUCACAGUUGAGAACUUCACCCCUGGAGGGCCUGGUCUGUGACCCCCUGCUUGCCUUGGGAUGUGGCUGCUACCAGCAAGGGGAAACUCUCCUGUCCAUGGCAUGGGGGCUUGGCUCCUCCUCACCAUGAUGAAAUAUGCCCUGGAUCCCAGAUGUACUUCAUCCUCUGACCUGUUUGGGCCUGGAUUGGGAGGAAAGCAUUCACCAUGGAGAAGAAUUUUGUGUUCAGCUUCUCAACCCUUGGCCUGCGUUGUCUCAAGCUUUCCUACAGCUAAUUCAGAGCUAUUUGAAUUCCUGGUCCUGCUCUUGCUGCUGCUUGGCUGUCAGGCUCUGCUCCCCUCCCAGCUACUUCUGCCCUCCUGGCUGUUUGUGGCAGCCAGAGAGCACCUGAUUCUUGUAUCCCAGACCUUAAACCACAGCCUGGCAGCCUCCAAGGGAUCCUCCCUGCUUGGGGUGCUGUUUGUGGGACUGCUGGUGGCUCUGGAUCCCAAGGGGCGUUCCCAUCCCAUCACCACCGGCUGCCAGCAUCGGGAUCACGGCCACCCAGGGAGUUGGACAUCACGGAGCUGGACACACACCAGGGUAGGUAAUGGAUGUGACCCCCAAAAUUGGAAAAGCCACCAUGGAAAAUAUGACUCAACCUAAAGGCUCUGGGCUAGAGGAGGGAGACUUCCCCAAUCAGGGGCAAACCAGGCAAGCUGUAUUUUCUGAUUCACCCCACAGAGCUGCUCCUGGCCUGGUUUGGAGCAGUGUCCUGCGUUUUGUUUCUCCCUCUGUGCCAGCUCAUGUCUUUGCUCUCACAUAGGAUCUUGAGUGCUUUCCCUGAGCCAGCUUUGCUCAGCUCAGACUUCAGCAGAUCCUGCAUCUUGGUGGCAUUUCCUG